RNAcentral lists this ribosomal RNA (182 nucleotides) under Buxus henryi. RNAcentral describes it as "partial 18S ribosomal RNA". It matches the Rfam family "Eukaryotic small subunit ribosomal RNA", at positions 1652 to 1831 of the family's 1831-position model. Lineage: Eukaryota; Viridiplantae; Streptophyta; Magnoliopsida; Buxales; Buxaceae. The record is from RNAcentral.
CCUGCCCUUUGUACACACCGCCCGUCGCUCCUACCGAUUGAAUGGUCCGGUGAAGUGUUCGGAUCGCGGCCUGUGGGCAGUUCGCCGCCGGCGAGUCGCGAGAAGUCCACUGAACCUUAUCAUUUAGAGGAAGGAGAAGUCGUAACAAGGUUUCUGUUGGUGAACCUGCGGAAGGAUCAUUG